RNAcentral lists this transfer RNA (76 nucleotides) under Prevotella sp. RNAcentral's name for it is "tRNA-Lys". It matches the Rfam family "tRNA". Rfam says of the family: Transfer RNA (tRNA) molecules are approximately 80 nucleotides in length. Their secondary structure includes four short double-helical elements and three loops (D, anti-codon, and T loops). The record is from RNAcentral. Lineage: Bacteria; Pseudomonadati; Bacteroidota; Bacteroidia; Bacteroidales; Prevotellaceae. RNAcentral also lists the same sequence under 3 other names.
GCACUCUUAGCUCAGUUGGUAGAGCAACUGACUCUUAAUCAGUGGGUCCAGGGUUCGAACCCCUGAGAGUGUACAA